This 696-nucleotide ribosomal RNA is filed under the name uncultured bacterium. RNAcentral's name for it is "bacterial SSU rRNA". It matches the Rfam family "Bacterial small subunit ribosomal RNA", at positions 48 to 725 of the family's 1533-position model. The record is from RNAcentral.
CUAAUACAUGCAAGUCGAGCGAACAGACGAGGAGCUUGCUCCUCUAACGUUAGCGGCGGACGGGUGAGUAACACGUGGGUAACCUACCUAUAAGACUGGGAUAACUCCGGGAAACCGGGGCUAAUACCGGAUAACACAUGAAACCGCAUGGUUUCAUGAUGAAAGACGGUUUUGCUGUCACUUAUAGAUGGACCCGCGGCGUAUUAGCUAGUUGGUAAGGUAACGGCUUACCAAGGCAACGAUACGUAGCCGACCUGAGAGGGUGAUCGGCCACACUGGAACUGAGACACGGUCCAGACUCCUACGGGAGGCAGCAGUAGGGAAUCUUCCGCAAUGGGCGAAAGCCUGACGGAGCAACGCCGCGUGUGCGAAGAAGGUCUUCGGAUCGUAAAGCACUGUUGUUAAGGAAGAACGACAGUAAGAGUAACUGCUUACUGUGUGACGGUACUUAACCAGAAAGCCACGGCUAACUACGUGCCAGCAGCCGCGGUAAUACGUAGGUGGCAAGCGUUAUCCGGAAUUAUUGGGCGUAAAGCGCGCGUAGGCGGCGAGAUUAGUCUGAUGUGAAAAGCCCCCGGCUCAACCGGGGAGGGUCAUUGGAAACUGUUUCGCUUGAGUGCAGAAGAGGAGAGUGGAAUUCCAUGUGUACCGGUGAAAUGCGCAGAGAUAUGGAGGAACACCAGUGGCGAAGGCGGC